Molecule: ribosomal RNA, 433 nt
Filed under: uncultured bacterium
Lineage: Bacteria
Description: bacterial SSU rRNA
Rfam family: Bacterial small subunit ribosomal RNA
Source: RNAcentral
AGCGAACGCUGGCGGCAGGCUUAACACAUGCAAGUCGAACGCAUCCUUCGGGGUGAGUGGCAGACGGGUGAGUAACACGUGGGAACGUACCUUUUGGUUCGGAACAACUGAGGGAAACUUCAGCUAAUACCGGAUACGCCCUUAUGGGGAAAGAUUUAUCGCCGAAAGAUCGGCCCGCGUCUGAUUAGCUAGUUGGUGAGGUAAUGGCUCACCAAGGCGACGAUCAGUAGCUGGUCUGAGAGGAUGAUCAGCCACACUGGGACUGAGACACGGCCCAGACUCCUACGGGAGGCAGCAGUGGGGAAUAUUGGACAAUGGGCGCAAGCCUGAUCCAGCCAUGCCGCGUGAGUGAUGAAGGCCUUAGGGUUGUAAAGCUCUUUUAUCCGGGACGAUAAUGACGGUACCGGAAGAAUAAGCCCCGGCUAACUUCGUG